AAUGAACGCUGGCGGCAUGCCUAACACAUGCAAGUCGAACGAAGGCUUCGGCCUUAGUGGCGCACGGGUGCGUAACGCGUGGGAAUCUGCCCCUUGGUUCGGAAUAACAGUUGGAAACGACUGCUAAUACCGGAUGACGACGUAAGUCCAAAGAUUUAUCGCCGAGGGAUGAGCCCGCGUAAGAUUAGCUAGUUGGUGUGGUAAAGGCGCACCAAGGCGACGAUCUUUAGCUGGUCUGAGAGGAUGAUCAGCCACACUGGGACUGAGACACGGCCCAGACUCCUACGGGAGGCAGCAGUGGGGAAUAUUGGACAAUGGGCGAAAGCCUGAUCCAGCAAUGCCGCGUGAGUGAUGAAGGCCUUAGGGUUGUAAAGCUCUUUUA
RNAcentral lists this ribosomal RNA (382 nucleotides) under uncultured bacterium. RNAcentral's name for it is "bacterial SSU rRNA". It matches the Rfam family "Bacterial small subunit ribosomal RNA", at positions 29 to 438 of the family's 1533-position model. The record is from RNAcentral.